RNAcentral lists this signal recognition particle RNA (298 nucleotides) under Propithecus coquereli (Coquerel's sifaka). RNAcentral describes it as "Metazoan signal recognition particle RNA (ENSPCOG00000001697.1)". It matches the Rfam family "Metazoan signal recognition particle RNA". From Rfam's summary of the family: The signal recognition particle (SRP) is a universally conserved ribonucleoprotein. It is involved in the co-translational targeting of proteins to membranes. The record is from RNAcentral. Lineage: Eukaryota; Metazoa; Chordata; Mammalia; Primates; Indriidae.
GCCAGGUGUGGUAGCAUACACCUGUAGUCCACCUAGCUACUUGGGAAGCUGAGGCAGGAGGAUCACCUGAGACCAGGAGUUCUGGGCUACAGUGCACUAUGCCCAUCAGGUGUCCACACUGAGUUCAGCAUCAAUAUGGUGACCUCCUGGGAGUGAGAGCCGCCAGGUUGCCUAAGAAGCGGUGAAUCAGCCCAGGUCAGAAACAGAGGUAAAAACUCUCCUGCUGAUCAGCAGUGGGAUCACGCCUGUGAAUAGCCGCUGUACUUCAGCCUAGGCAACAUAGCUAGUCCUCGUCUCU